RNAcentral lists this ribosomal RNA (403 nucleotides) under uncultured Glomus. Its description in RNAcentral is "SSU rRNA". It matches the Rfam family "Eukaryotic small subunit ribosomal RNA", at positions 695 to 1098 of the family's 1831-position model. The record is from RNAcentral. Lineage: Eukaryota; Fungi; Glomeromycota; Glomeromycetes; Glomerales; Glomeraceae.
CUCACCUUCUAAAGAACCGUAAUGCCAUUAAUUUGGUGUCACGGGGAAUCAGGACUGUUACCUUGAAAAAAUUAGAGUGUUUAAAGCAGGCUAACGCUUGAAUACAUUAGCAUGGAAUAAUGAAAUAGGACGUUCGAUCUUAUUUUGUUGGUUUCUAGGAUUGACGUAAUGAUUAAUAGGGAUAGUUGGGGGCAUUAGUAUUCAAUUGUCGGAGGUGAAAUUCUUGGAUUUAUUGAAGACUAACUUCUGCGAAAGCAUUUGCCAAGGAUGUUUUCAUUAAUCAAGAACGAAAGUUAGGGGAUCGAAGACGAUCAGAUACCGUCGUAGUCUUAACCAUAAACUAUGCCGACUAGGGAUCGGACGAUGUUAAAUUUUAUUGACUCGUUCGGCGCCUUAGGGAAAC